This 276-nucleotide long non-coding RNA is filed under the name Solanum tuberosum (potato). RNAcentral's name for it is "long non-coding RNA (STUB_LNC000993)". Lineage: Eukaryota; Viridiplantae; Streptophyta; Magnoliopsida; Solanales; Solanaceae. The record is from RNAcentral.
UUAUCUGGUUUAUUUUUCCUAUCCGUAAAUCUCUUGAGAAAAAUUGGGGUUUUAUCAAUUUGGACUCUCUUUUUGAUGAAAAAGGUAUAUUUAUGAUCCUUAUGUUGUGGGUAAACUGAUUUUAACAUAAAAUUAUUGAUUCAUUGAUUAUUUUUAUCAUAUUAACCGCGUACAAUUUGGACUUUCCCGGUAAAGUUAAAGUUUGAUAAAUUGAGAAUUUCAAGGUCGAUCUUAACUCCGUUUUUGAUGAAAUUUCAUAUUUGAACUUAUCUAAGC